Phalacrocorax carbo (great cormorant) is the source of this 5849-nucleotide non-coding RNA. Lineage: Eukaryota; Metazoa; Chordata; Aves; Suliformes; Phalacrocoracidae. The record is from RefSeq and is a predicted model, not a curated record.
GCUCGGAGCGAGGACCGAAGGGCUGUCUCCUUUCAAGAGGGGGAACCUGCCAGGCGAGCGGCACCCUCUCCUCGGGAUCCCGGCUCGCUGCGGGCGUCCGUUUGUCCGCGGCUCGCGGGGGCACUGACAAGUGGUUUGCAUGCAGCAUGGGGUGGUGGCCUCAGAGUUGAGACUCCUGAAGUGCAUUGCGUAUCCAGAGUAUUAAUAAUUAAAUACCUGGGAUCGGUCUACCUUGCUGUUUGAAAUGAAGAAAGAAAUUUACAGAAGAUAAAAAGUAGGUGCAGUGAAAAGAUCAGGAUCUCCACCAGAAUUCAGUGGCGUGGUUUGGGGAUUGGUCUGUAGCCUGCAUUUUCUGAAGCAGGGCCUCAACCUUUGACAUCUCCUGACCUCGUGUUGCAACAGAAAAGUUUUGUGACUCCCCUCUGAUCUAGCCAUAUAAAAAAACAGAGGGAGGUAGUGACCCUGAGUUUGGAAACUUAUGACCUGGAACAACUAAAAAUUUUGCCUUAAUAAAGGCUACAGAAUCAAUCGUCCCUUCCUAUGCAGCUAUCCAGAGUUUUUCCAGAGCAAGAACACAGACACCUAAGGUAUGACUUUUAAAUUGUGUCCUGUUCUUUGCUCUGUACAUGAUACACAUCAACACUGCCUGUGUAAAUCCUGGCCUCGUGUCACAAAGAAAGUCUAUGCAAACAUACACCAGUAUGUUCAGAAUGUAUUUUGCAAAGGUAUGACUCAGAAAUCCUUUUUUAUUUGCCUAAAAAUCACAUUUAGCAGGUUAAGAAGGAAAAAAAUUGGACUUUUUUUGAUGGUGUCAAAAUAUUAGGGGAAAAACAUUGCUAUCACCUGGAAGCUGCACCCGUAAGUGGAAGUGGUAGAAAAGUGGUUGUAUUAUAUGAACUUCCAAAUCCACCUCAGACCAUGCAGCUUGAGACUAUAAAGUCUGGUGAAAUUAAUUAAUUUAAGGCAUCAUUUGCCAUAUCACAGUGCACAUCGGUUAAUAAAUACGCAAAUCUCUUGUUGCAACGUUGUAUGCUUUUUGCAGUCAAACAGUGUAGGGAAUUUGGUAAAGGUACAAACAUGGAAAAGAGAAACAAAAGAAUCAGCUUUUUCUGCCUGUUGUCAAAAUGCCCAAAUAAUUUCUAUUUACAAGGUUUCAGGGCAAGGGCAAUGUUUAUCUAGGCGAUGUGUGAAUGGAUAGGCGUUAUUCAGCUUGUGGAUGUUUUCAGGACAUUUCUACAACAUGUACAGAAUAAAUAAAGAUAAUAGGAAUAGAAAUAAAAACACAUCUAUUACUGAGGUAACUUGCUUUGUGAGCUAGCCAAAUAUGGCUACAUGUUAGCAGAAGGUUUCAGAAGGUUAUCACUGUAUUCUGCUUCUUGUUGGAUAUAAGGCUCUUCCAUUAUCAACAUCUUAUUUUUCACACUGGAAUCAUAAUUCUCGAGAGACAAGCUCCCGAGUUUUGAAAUAUUUUUUUUCUUUUCCUGUUUGGAGCACACCUGCUCCUAGCUGAGCUCAAAAAACGUCUUAAAAAUUAUCAUAGAAUCAUUAAGGUUGGAAAAGACCUCUAGAAUCAUCAAGUCUAACUGACGUAUCUGUCCCAUCUGAUUUCCUAAUAUACUGAAUGCUUACAUUGUUGAUACACGUUAAUAACUUUAAACAAAACUAUUCUGAUGUUUUCAGUUAACACUGCUGUAAUAUUUUAAUUUAGCUGUUAAUGGGCGAGACUACAAUUCACCAGUGUAAUGUAAUAUUGAUGCAUUUUUGCUAUUCUAAGUAUCUCAGCUUCAGUCAGACAGUCCAAAUCCUUUUAGUGGAAUCAUGGCCUUUCUAUAUGAACUGAUAUAAAAUAGUAGCUAGACACCAAAUUUUUAAAGUAAUAGCUUUUCUUUUGUUUUGUAGGUCAGGAUAAGAAUUAAAACAAAACAAAAAAGACAAAAUGUGUUCUGCCAAGGCACAUAUAAAUGGUUUUAGGAAAGGGUGAGAAAAAUCAGGAUGAUUCAGGAUUGGCCCACAAGGGUCACUAAAAAUAACGGAAUGCAGUAAUUUUACUGAAGGGAUACUUCUAUUUGUUACAUAUUGUUACAAAUGUCUAUUUGAGUCAACAUAAUCUAGAUUUUUGUUUUGCUGCUGCUGUUUGUAUAAAAGCUUUCUUUUGUAAUAAAAGGCCUGUUUCAAACCACACAAACUGCACACACCUCUGUCAGUAGGUGCCUGGAUGCUGGUGUAAGUCAGCAGUAUCUCCACUGAAAUCACUGGACCUACAUCAACAAAAAAUACAAGUGAGAUCACAGUAAAAUUUCAUACACCUGAGGAAAGAACUGGGUUUAUUUUUUAUGUUAUAACACAAACAAAGAGCAAAUGUAUUACACAGAACACCAUAUGAAAAAAUACAUGAGGAAUUGAGCAUUGCUUUUUUAAACAAUAUUAUUAUAUUUUAUACGUUAUGCUACAAGAAUCCGUUGAAGACUAUGCCUGCUAGGUGCCAUUUAGUGUGGAUUAUUUUAAGAGUAACUUUUCAUUAGGCAUAUCAAUUGGAUAGGUGUAACUAGAAGUUCAAAUGUGCUGCCCAUUUUACUAAGGAGAUGUCUAAAUGUGGCGCAUUCAGUCUAUACUAAACUGGAUUCCUCUUUGCAUUUUUACUCUGAUAGGACUUUCUGUAUUUAUGGAAAACUGCCCACAUGGUUGGCUGGAACAUAUUUUAAAAUUCUUUAAAAUGAUAGAUGUUAUAUGAUUUUAUUAUGUAUCAUUUUCUUCUAUAAACUAAUGUUCACACUGUCACUAAAGUAAAUCCUUAAAAAUGGGAGAUGCAGGUCAGCUGUUAAUGAUGAUUAGUUUUUUUCUUUUUGGGAGCUGAAAGAAGAAAAAUGGUCCUGGAUUGUCUGUGCUUUACACAUAAUGGUUUUAGCUUCCCAAUACUAAUAGUAUUCCUAAGAUAGCUGCUUCAGAAUUCACUUUGGUGAAUGGACAGAACCAUUUUAUACCUCCAAAGUAAACAAGUUAGCGGCUAUUUGAAAAACUACAAUUUUCUUAUGCAGGGGACUAACAGGAAAUUAUGAAAUCCUGAAGCAUUGUUGGAAAAUUGUUCUAACUUAAAUAAUUUUUCUUUAUAGUUUCAUUCUUGAUGUUCCACAGCAUUCACUACUUCCUGCAUGGCUCUUCACCGCAGGGAAAAUGAGGGACUUUUGGGGGCAGAUGUGUUUCCAUUACACUAUCAUAAUGCCCCUAAAAAUCCUUAUUGCUCUUGCAGUAUUCUUCUGUGUUGCUGGGCCUGGUGUGACCUACUUGAAGACCUAGUUUAUAAGUACAGCUUUUCUCUAAGAACACUUUUAAAAAAACCACUGAGUUUUAUUUUGUUUAUCUUAUAUUAUUUUUAGUUGUGUUUACUGUUGCUUAAAAUAUAAAUGGCAAGAUUUGCAACCACCUGUUGGUAAACAAAUGUCAUAAGUCAUAAAUCCAAGGGACAUGCUGAUAACUGCGUGAUAUUAUGAAGAGGGAUAUAUUUUGGCUUAAGAGUGAGAUCUUCACUCUUUUGGUAAGAUUAACUUGUUUUUAUCAGAAGAAUUUAGUGUAUAUGUCUGAAAACAUUAUGCGGAUUUUGCAAGCUAAUUUGAAUGACUGCUACAGUGGACCUCACUUAGAAUAUUAACUGCUUUUAAGGACAUAUGUCAGGUCAUUUAUCAAAUUAAUAGACCUGCCCAGUACUUUAACUGAAAUUAAAUGCAUAAAAAUAUUAAAAUAAAAUUUUCAUACAUUCCCCAAAUAAAUUUACAAUUAAACCUAGAAAAGACAUUGUGGGUUCUCAGCUAUUCUAUGCUUAUUCGACCCAGAAGGUCUUUGGGUGGGCAUACCUCUUGCUGGGUCUUUGAGGCAGGAGGGAUAGCGCAGUCCAUUGGGAAUGCAGUUGUGCUGUAUUGCUCCUCUCUCUACCCCUCUGGGUGAGGGAGAGAGAUCUCCGAGAAGGGAGUGCCCACACUUAGUCUCUCAGGCACAGUUUAUUCCUGCUAGGUGGCAGGUUCCCCUGAAGUCUGCAGAAUUCUGCAGUUCUUGAAGGAAAAGGCAGAACAUAUACAUGUAAACAUGGUUUGUUUUUGUCUGGGUAUUGCAGCGCAAUAUAUCAUCAGUUUAACGUGCAGUGCUGGUAACAUUUAUUUCGGUAGCUGUGUGUAGAACAGUAAUAUAACUGGUUUGUGUUAAAUGUACCCUUGCCUUCACUGGCUAGCUUAAAAGAAAUAAUAGAUAUACAGCGUCAUAUAGCGGUGUCUAAUAUCUUUAAAUAGCCUUCAAAAUAUUUGGUGACAUAGGAAAGAAACUAGCUGGAUAGAUUCUCCCCUCCCCUUUUAUAUUAAAGUUUAAUCCCCAAGAAAAUCCUUGUCUUCAUUCUGCUAAAUGAGUGUUCCUAAUUUUUCAGGCAGGAAAAUCUUACAGGUUAAGUCAUGUCCUAUAGGUCACCAAGCAAGCUUGCUGUUAUGACUGGAACCCAGAGCUUUUGAUGCCCAGAUAAAUACCACAGUAACAAGAAAAUUACUUUCUAGUAGGACAGAAUGAGCCAUGUUGCACAAUAUUAUAUUCACAGGUCAAAACGUGCUGGCAUAUGCAUUUCAACAUAAAACAUUUCCACAUGCAACAGCAUUUCAAAUGUAUGUACAGACAGAAAGCAGUAUAAAAACUAGUCAUUAUACUAAUUCUAAAUUUUCAUAUCAAUACUUCAGUGAUUCUAUUUGGACCACUGAUGGCAAGAUGAUUCCUAGCACCUUCUGACAUAAAUGAAAGGUGUUGUAACACAGACUGGCUCGAGGCUUAUGCAGCCUUUAAAUUAUAAAGUUACUUGCAAGGUACUAGAUUAAUUAAAUUACUAAUUUUAUUAGUAAAGUUCUUUGCCGUCUGUGUGCGUGUUUAGCAAACUUUUUACUUCCAAGUAACACUCCUAGCUAAAGACUCUGCAGCUAAUUGAAAAUGUUUAAAAAAAAAAAAAAAAGUAUGAGACUACAAAUAUUCUAUGAAGUUCUGUAAUAUUAAGGAUCAGUGAAGAAAGCACUCCCAGAGCUAUAAAUUGUAUCACCUUUAUAUAGAAGACACUGCCAAUAUGAACAGACUUGAAUUUUAAUUCCUUUUUAAAAGUCUUUUGGGAGCUAUGCUAGUCACAAUACUAUGUAAAGAAUACUGUGAUAGAUUUGAGCAUUAAAACUGAUCUGAUUUUGUAUUUGUCCUAUGUUACAAUCUUACCUUACAUUUAAUCUUUCACGAAUAUCAGAAUAUUUCUUUUCCUAACAUAUGAAAUUUUACGAAAGAUUGCUUGCAUGUAUAAUUUGUAGAUUUCAACAGCUAAUUCUUACAUACAUACCUACUUAUACACAUGCAGGACCUAGUAAAAGUCAGAUUCCCUGUGAACAUAUGCUCUGUAAAUGUUUAAAAAUAUAUUUAUAAUAUGACACUGCUAUUGACACAAAUACUUGCUUAGACCUAGCAAUCCUGAGAUUAAAUUCAAGGAAGGGAAACAAAAUCAGUAACACUAUAUUCCAGCCCUUUUUAUAUGUAAUAGGAGUCACCUGACAUACUACUGUCAUUUUUUUUUACACAUUUUUAUCACUGAAUAAUAAGCAUUAGAAAAUAAGAGCCAAGCACAUGGUUUGAGAUGUGUACUUAAACCUUCAAAUUCUUGCAUCAAAUUGGUUUUUAAGUAUUUACAUUAUUUUGGUUUCAAAUAGUAUGUCACAAAAACCUCUGGAUCUGAUACAGCCCCAGAGGAAGGACUGCAAAACUCAUCUGUAAAACUCUGCUGAAGCUAACAGCACUUUGUCUGCGAAUGGGCUGUCAGUAUGUUUCAAUAUUAAAUAUUUUGUAAAAGAUAA